UACGUAGGGGGCUAGCGUUGUCCGGAAUCAUUGGGCGUAAAGCGCGCGUAGGUGGCCCGGUAAGUCCGCUCUGAAAGUCACAGGCUCAACCUGUGAAAGCGGGUGGAUACUGCCGGGCUAGAGUCCGGAAGAGGCGAGUGGAAUUCCUGGUGUAGCGGUGGAAUGCGUAGAGAUCCGGAAGAACACCGGUGGCGAAGGCGGUCUGCUGGGCAGUAGCUGACACUGAGGCGCGACAGCGUGGGGAGCAAACAGG
This 253-nucleotide ribosomal RNA is filed under the name uncultured bacterium. RNAcentral's name for it is "partial 16S ribosomal RNA". It matches the Rfam family "Bacterial small subunit ribosomal RNA", at positions 524 to 776 of the family's 1533-position model. The record is from RNAcentral.